UACGUAGGGGGCAAGCGUUGUCCGGAAUUAUUGGGCGUAAAGGGCGCGUAGGCGGCUCGGCACGUCCGUUGUGAAAUCGCCCGGCUCAACUGGGCGGGGUCGGCGGAUACGGCCGAGCUGGAGCAAGCUAGGGGGUAAUGGAAUUCCCGGUGUAGUGGUGGAAUGCGUAGAUAUCGGGAGGAACACCAGUGGCGAAGGCGGUUACCUGGAGCUUUGCUGACGCUGACGCGCGAAAGCGUGGGGAGCGAUCCGG
Molecule: ribosomal RNA, 253 nt
Filed under: uncultured bacterium
Lineage: Bacteria
Description: partial 16S ribosomal RNA
Rfam family: Bacterial small subunit ribosomal RNA
Source: RNAcentral